Molecule: ribosomal RNA, 472 nt
Filed under: uncultured bacterium
Lineage: Bacteria
Description: bacterial SSU rRNA
Rfam family: Bacterial small subunit ribosomal RNA
Source: RNAcentral
GACGACGCUGGCGGCGUGCUUAACACAUGCAAGUCGAACGGACGAGUGAGAUAAGUUUACUUAACUCACAAGUUAGUGGCGGACGGGUGAGUAACACGUGGAUAAUCUACCUGCAACACCGGGAUAACGCUGUGAAAACGGUGCUAAUACCGGAUACGUUCCCUUGUGCGCAUGUAUGAGGGAAGAAAGCUCAGGCGGUUGCAGAUGAGUCCGCGGCUGAUUAGCUAGUUGGUGAGGUAAAGGCUCACCAAGGCGAUGAUCAGUAGCCGGCCUGAGAGGGUGAACGGCCACACUGGGACUGAGACACGGCCCAGACUCCUACGGGAGGCAGCAGUGGGGAAUCUUCCGCAAUGGGCGCAAGCCUGACGGAGCAACGCCGCGUGGGUGAAGAAGGCCUUCGGGUUGUAAAGCCCUGUCUUAUAGGAAGAAGUCAGUGACGGUACCAUAGGAGGAAGCCACGGCUAACUACGUG